Molecule: ribosomal RNA, 468 nt
Filed under: uncultured bacterium
Lineage: Bacteria
Description: partial 16S ribosomal RNA
Rfam family: Bacterial small subunit ribosomal RNA
Source: RNAcentral
GACGAACGCUGGCGGCGUGCUUAACACAUGCAAGUCGAACGGAAAGGCCCUGCUUUUGUGGGGUGCUCGAGUGGCGAACGGGUGAGUAACACGUGAGUAACCUGCCCUUGACUUUGGGAUAACUUCAGGAAACUGGGGCUAAUACCGGAUAGGAGCUCCUGCUGCAUGGUGGGGGUUGGAAAGUUUCGGCGGCUGGGGAUGGACUCGCGGCUUAUCAGCUUGUUGGUGGGGUAGUGGCUUACCAAGGCUUUGACGGGUAGCCGGCCUGAGAGGGUGACCGGCCCCCUUGGGCCUGAGGUACGGCCCAGACUCCUACGGGAGGCAGCAGUGGGGAAUAUUGCACAAUGGGCGGACGCCUGAUGCAGCAACGCCGCGUGCGGGAUGACGGCCUUCGGGUUGUAAACCGCUUUCGCCUGUGACGAAGCGUGAGUGACGGUAAUGGGUAAAGAAGCACCGGCUAACUACGUG